UUGGGUUAAGUCCCGCAACGAGCGCAACCCACGUUUUUAGUUGCCAGCAUUGAGUUGGGCACUCUAGAGAGACUGCCGGUGACAAACCGGAGGAAGGUGUGGAUGACGUCAAGUCAGCAUGCCCCUUACGUUCUGGGCUACACACGUACUACAAUGCUUCGGACAAAGGGCAGCGAGCGCGCGAGUGCAAGCCAAUCCCAUAAACCGAGGCUCAGUUCAGAUUGCAGGCUGCAACUCGCCUGCAUGAAGGCGGAAUCGCUAGUAAUCGCAGGUCAGCAUACUGCGGUGAAUACGUUCCCGGGCCUUGUACACACCGCCCGUCACACCAUGGGAGUUGGCCACGCCCGAAGUCGUUACUCCAACCGUUCGCGGAGGAGGAUGCCGAAGGCAGGGCUGAUGACUGGGGUGAAGUCGUACAAGGUAACCA
This 427-nucleotide ribosomal RNA is filed under the name uncultured cyanobacterium. Its description in RNAcentral is "bacterial SSU rRNA". It matches the Rfam family "Bacterial small subunit ribosomal RNA", at positions 1075 to 1502 of the family's 1533-position model. The record is from RNAcentral. Lineage: Bacteria; Bacillati; Cyanobacteriota.